This 1379-nucleotide ribosomal RNA is filed under the name uncultured bacterium. RNAcentral describes it as "bacterial SSU rRNA". It matches the Rfam family "Bacterial small subunit ribosomal RNA", at positions 18 to 1395 of the family's 1533-position model. The record is from RNAcentral.
CCUGGCUCAGGAUGAACGCUAGCGACAGGCUUAACACAUGCAAGUCGAGGGGCAGCACAGGUAGCAAUACCGGGUGGCGACCGGCGCACGGGUGAGUAACGCGUAUGCAACUUACCUAUCAGAGGGGGAUAACCCGGCGAAAGUCGGACUAAUACCGCAUGAAGCAGGGGCCCCGCAUGGGGAUAUUUGCUAAAGAUUCAUCGCUGAUAGAUAGGCAUGCGUUCCAUUAGGCAGUUGGCGGGGUAACGGCCCACCAAACCGACGAUGGAUAGGGGUUCUGAGAGGAAGGUCCCCCACAUUGGUACUGAGACACGGACCAAACUCCUACGGGAGGCAGCAGUGAGGAAUAUUGGUCAAUGGGCGUAAGCCUGAACCAGCCAAGUCGCGUGAGGGAUGAAGGUUCUAUGGAUCGUAAACCUCUUUUAUAAGGGAAUAAAGUGCGGGACGUGUCCCGUUUUGUAUGUACCUUAUGAAUAAGGAUCGGCUAACUCCGUGCCAGCAGCCGCGGUAAUACGGAGGAUCCGAGCGUUAUCCGGAUUUAUUGGGUUUAAAGGGUGCGUAGGCGGCCUUUUAAGUCAGCGGUGAAAGUCUGUGGCUCAACCAUAGAAUUGCCGUUGAAACUGGGAGGCUUGAGUAUGUUUGAGGCAGGCGGAAUGCGUGGUGUAGCGGUGAAAUGCUUAGAUAUCACGCAGAACCCCGAUUGCGAAGGCAGCCUGCCAAGCCAUGACUGACGCUGAUGCACGAAAGCGUGGGGAUCAAACAGGAUUAGAUACCCUGGUAGUCCACGCAGUAAACGAUGAUCACUAGCUGUUUGCGAUACACUGUAAGCGGCACAGCGAAAGCGUUAAGUGAUCCACCUGGGGAGUACGCCGGCAACGGUGAAACUCAAAGGAAUUGACGGGGGCCCGCACAAGCGGAGGAACAUGUGGUUUAAUUCGAUGAUACGCGAGGAACCUUACCCGGGUUUGAACGCAUUCGGACCGAGGUGGAAACACCUUUUCUAGCAAUAGCCGUUUGCGAGGUGCUGCAUGGUUGUCGUCAGCUCGUGCCGUGAGGUGUCGGCUUAAGUGCCAUAACGAGCGCAACCCUUGCCACUAGUUACUAACAGGUGAUGCUGAGGACUCUGGUGGGACUGCCAGCGUAAGCUGCGAGGAAGGCGGGGAUGACGUCAAAUCAGCACGGCCCUUACAUCCGGGGCGACACACGUGUUACAAUGGCGUGGACAAAGGGAGGCCACCUGGCGACAGGGAGCGAAUCCCCAAACCACGUCUCAGUUCGGAUCGGAGUCUGCAACCCGACUCCGUGAAGCUGGAUUCGCUAGUAAUCGCGCAUCAGCCAUGGCGCGGUGAAUACGUUCCCGGGCCUUGCACACACCGCCC